GAUGAACGCUGGCGGCGUGCCUAAUACAUGCAAGCCGAGCGAACGGACGAGAAGCUUGCUUUUCUGAUGUUAGCGGCGGACGGGUGAGUAACACGUGGAUAACCUACCUAUAAGACUGGGAUAACUUCGGGAAACCGGAGCUAAUACCGGAUAAUAUUUUGAACCGCAUGGUUCAAAAGUGAAAGACGGUCUUGCUGUCACUUAUAGAUGGAUCCGCGCUGCAUUAGCUAGUUGGUAAGGUAACGGCUUACCAAGGCAACGAUGCAUAGCCGACCUGAGAGGGUGAUCGGCCACACUGGGACUGAGACACGGUCCAGACUCCUACGGGAGGCAGCAGUAGGGAAUCUUCCGCAAUGGGCGAAAGCCUGACGGAGCAACGCCGCGUGAGUGAUGAAGGUCUUCGGAUCGUAAAACCCUGUUAUUAGGGAAGAACAUAUGUGUAAGUAACUGUGCACAUCUUGACGGUACCUAAUCAGAAAGCCACGGCUAACUACGUG
This 497-nucleotide ribosomal RNA is filed under the name uncultured bacterium. Its description in RNAcentral is "partial 16S ribosomal RNA". It matches the Rfam family "Bacterial small subunit ribosomal RNA", at positions 28 to 507 of the family's 1533-position model. The record is from RNAcentral.